AGCAGCCGCGGUAAUUCCAGCUCCAAUAGCGUAUAUUAAAGUUGUUGCAGUUAAAAAGCUCGUAGUUGAAUUUCGGGGUUAGUAGGUUGGUUAUGCCUCUGGUAUGUACUGGUCUCACUGAUUCCUCCUUCCUGAUGAGCCGUAAUGCCAUUAAUUUGGUGUUGCGGGGAAUUUGGACUGUUACUUUGAAAAAAUUAGAGUGUUUAAAGCAAGCUAACGCUUGAAUACAUUAGCAUGGAAUAAUGAAAUAGGACGUUCGAUCCUAUUUUGUUGGUUUCUAGGAUUGACGUAAUGAUUAAUAGGGAUAGUUGGGGGCAUUAGUAUUCAAUUGUCAGAGGUGAAAUUCUUGGAUUUAUUGAAGACUAACUACUGCGAAAGCAUUUGCCAAGGAUGUUUUCAUUAAUCAAGAACGAAAGUUAGGGGAUCGAAGACGAUCAGAUACCGUCGUAGUCUUAACCAUAAACUAUGCCGACUAGGGAUCGGAUGAUGUUAAUUUUUUAAUGACUCA
This 508-nucleotide ribosomal RNA is filed under the name uncultured Glomus. RNAcentral describes it as "SSU rRNA". It matches the Rfam family "Eukaryotic small subunit ribosomal RNA", at positions 569 to 1078 of the family's 1831-position model. The record is from RNAcentral. Lineage: Eukaryota; Fungi; Glomeromycota; Glomeromycetes; Glomerales; Glomeraceae.